AACAGGAUUAGAUACCCUGGUAGUCCAUGCCGUAAACGGUGGGCGCUAGGUGUAGGGGUCUUCCACGACUUCUGUGCCGCAGCUAACGCAUUAAGCGCCCCGCCUGGGGAGUACGGCCGCAAGGCUAAAACUCAAAGGAAUUGACGGGGGCCCGCACAAGCGGCGGAGCAUGUGGAUUAAUUCGAUGCAACGCGAAGAACCUUACCUGGGCUUGACAUGGACCGGAUCGGCGUAGAGAUACGUUUUCCCUUGUGGUCGGUUCACAGGUGGUGCAUGGUUGUCGUCAGCUCGUGUCGUGAGAUGUUGGGUUAAGUCCCGCAACGAGCGCAACCCUUGUCUUAUGUUGCCAGCACAUUGUGGUGGGUACUCAUGAGAGACUGCCGGGGUUAACUCGGAGGAAGGUGGGGAUGACGUCAAAUCAUCAUGCCCCUUAUGUCCAGGGCUUCACACAUGCUACAAUGGUCGGUACAGCGAGUUGCCACACCGUGAGGUGGAGCUAAUCUCUUAAAGCCGGCCUCAGUUCGGAUUGGGGUCUGCAACUCGACCCCAUGAAGUCGGAGUCGCUAGUAAUCGCAGAUCAGCAACGCUGCGGUGAAUACGUUCCCGGGCCUUGUACACACCGCCCGUCACGUCAUGAAAGUUGGUAACACCCGAAGCCAGUGGCCCAACCUUUUAGGGGGGAGCUGUCGAAGGUGGGAUCGGCGAUUGGACGAAGUCGUAACAAGGUAACC
This 731-nucleotide ribosomal RNA is filed under the name uncultured bacterium. Its description in RNAcentral is "bacterial SSU rRNA". It matches the Rfam family "Bacterial small subunit ribosomal RNA", at positions 771 to 1501 of the family's 1533-position model. The record is from RNAcentral.